Molecule: long non-coding RNA, 644 nt
Organism: Oreochromis niloticus (Nile tilapia)
Lineage: Eukaryota; Metazoa; Chordata; Actinopteri; Cichliformes; Cichlidae
Exons: 3
Source: RefSeq, a predicted model, not a curated record
GUGUGUGGGUGUGUGUGUGAGUGAGAGUGUGAGUGUGCGCAACUUCCAAAACACAGGCCUCAUCUCUUCCUGUGUACGUUAGGUAUUCUACUUUCAUCAGUUCUCUUGAGUACUGAGACUGUUGAGCAGAGUAACCAUUUCAGGUUUACCUAUCGAAAUCACCUGAGGUCACAUCUGUGAAUUACUGCUUUACCUAAAAAGCGAAUCUUUGCAAGGUGGGAGAAAAGAAAAACAUGUAAACUCCACAAAGAAGGUGUGUUUAAAGAUAUAUUUAUUUUAUACACUUGUUUCCAUGAAUAAAAUAUGUCUCUUCAAAAAACAAUGUACAAUCUUACAAUCUUGCAAUAUUAUAAUUGCGCUUUAUAUAUACAAUGAAACAUAAAAACAUAACCCAUAUAUCAAUAUAUAUAUAUAUGUAUAUAUAUAUAUUUAUGUAUAUAUAUAUAUAUAUAUAUCUAAACACACACAAUAAAAAGCAUAACAAAAUACUUGGACUACAUUCUACAUGUCUGAGAUCGAAGAUUUGAGGACAGCUGCCUUGGUACAAUAUUCAGUUUGUACAUAACAACUGGUACUUUGGUCAGUCAUUAACAGUCAUAGUUUUAAAUAUGUCUGAGGUAUUUGUGGUAAGAUUAGAGUUAUAA